GCGGAAGUAGUUCAGCGGUAGAACACCACCUUGCCAAGGUGGGGGUCGCGGGUUCGAACCCCGUCUUCCGCU
Molecule: transfer RNA, 72 nt
Filed under: Ureibacillus xyleni
Lineage: Bacteria; Bacillati; Bacillota; Bacilli; Caryophanales; Caryophanaceae
Also listed under: 4 other names
Description: Lysinibacillus xyleni tRNA_Gly_GCC
Rfam family: tRNA
About the family: Transfer RNA (tRNA) molecules are approximately 80 nucleotides in length. Their secondary structure includes four short double-helical elements and three loops (D, anti-codon, and T loops).
Source: RNAcentral